This 18556-nucleotide long non-coding RNA is filed under the name Homo sapiens (human). RNAcentral's name for it is "HSALNT0331510". Lineage: Eukaryota; Metazoa; Chordata; Mammalia; Primates; Hominidae. The record is from RNAcentral.
CUUUCCCUGCCUCGCGACACCCAGACCGAGACCUCGGGAAUGCUCCGGCCCCCUGCCGCCGUCUCCCGGCCCGGUUCUCUUUCACUAAAAAUAGGCGAUUCUGGCAGCGCCCCUCCUAUGGGGCCUUGGGGGCAAUUGGGGUUUUGUCUUAGAGCCCGUGUGGACCCGGAUGGCGACGGCAGCCCGAGGAGAGGGAGGGCUGACUGUAUGGUUGGCUUUCCGACGACCAGACCCUGCAGGAUUCGGCCUUUCCCUUUGGAGUUUUCCUCCAUCCCCCUCCGUCCCUCCCAGGGGAUGCCCGCAGGCCACAGUGGUCACUGAAGGUCAACCCUGAGCCGAAGGAGAAGUGGCCUCGACCCUGGGGACCCCUUCAGGUGCAGCUUGAGGGGGAACGGCCGCCUUUCCCGUUGGGCACCCAGCUGUGGCUGUGCCCUGUCCUCGCCCAGCUCCCGGCAUAGGCAUGCGCUCUGGGCCGGGGCCGGGGCCCCCCGCCUCCCCGGGAGGAAUCGCUGGGUUGACUCUGGGUCAGCAAAGGGAGCCCGGCCCUUUCUAGCGGGGGGACGUCCUGCAGCCGCUGGAGGAGGCUGAGUCACGCUUUUCCCACCAGAAGUCUACCUGUGCCUGCGCCCGCCGGACCUGCCGGCCUCUUCCUUCUCAUCCAGGGGGCCUCUUCUCCAGCCUCACGGAGGUGGGAAGCUUGCUGGAGGCCCCUACCUGCCUUUUGGGGAAGACCCCGAGGCUGGCCCACGCCCUGCUGGCAGGACCCUUCCUGACUGGGUCCACCGUUCUUCUGGGUCUCACCACUUCUCCCAGCCCCUGGGCUGCUUCCUCUCUCCCGUGUCUGGGACCCCAGAGGCACCACUUCCAUUCCAUACAAGGAGUCCACAGGACCUGUACAGUUGGAACCAGCCCCUCAGGCUUCCCUGCCAGAGCCCUUUUCUCCAGGAGCAGAGGCAUCCAUCCCCUCCUGCCAGCAUUCCAGACCCUGGAGGGCUUGCGCGGUGGCAGGUUUUCCCUUGAAUGCUGAGGCGAGGCUGAGGGAAAGGUGCGUGGCCAGGACCAGAGGGCCUGCUGACUGCCAGCUAAAACUCUGUGCAGGAGGCUUUCCCACGUACUUUACGUACUUUAAGAUGAUGAGCAAAAUCCUUACUGUCUCCCUGCAAAAUCCGUGUGGCUUCCUCUGGCGUGUCCCAUACUCUUGUGUUUGUGGCCAGACUGGGCCUCCGCUCUUCCUCCAAACUCAUUAGUUCUCUCCCACACAGAACACACAUUGUUCUGCCUGGAAGGCCCAUCACAUCCCUCCCCAACCCUCUCGGUUCAAUCUAAGCUUUCUUGGGGUCUCAGCUUAGGUUGCCUGUUCAGGGAAGCCUCUGGGACCCUCAGGUCUAGGUCACAUUUGUUUCAUGCUUUCACAGCGGUGGUGUAGUGUAUACUGGUUCUUCUUAUCCCUCAGGUGUCUCCUCACAAGGACUGCUCUGUUUCUGCUAAGUGUUGCAUUCUCACCACCCAGUGGAGGCUUUGGCCUGUGGAAGAUUCUAAUUUUGGUGGCCAGCCUCAUGGGUUGAAAAGUAAAGGUCAAGUAGUUAAAGGAAGGGCGUUCCAGGCAGAGGGAUCAGCGUAGGUGCAGAGGUAAGGUAGGGAUAGCUUUGAGGGCUCCUUAGGAGGGAGUGAAACCCCUGAGGGUCAAGGAGCCCUAGUUUGGAAGGCCUUGCUACUAAGGGAUCUGGAUUUUGUCCUGAAGCCUAGAGUAGUUUCUUUAAGAGUCUGAUCUCGGCCAGGCCUAGAGUAGUUUCUUUAAGAGUCUGAUCUCGGCCAGGCCUAGAGUAGUUUCUUUAAGAGUCUGAUCUCGGCCAGGCGCAGUGGCUCACGCCUGUAAUCCCAGUACUUCGGAAGGCCAAGGCAGGCAGAUCACGAGGUCAGGAGUUCCAGACCAUCCUGGCUAACACGGUGAAACCCGUCUCUACUAAAAAUACAAAAAAUUAGCUGGGCCUGGUGGCACGUGCCUGUAGUCCCAGCUACUCGGGAGGCUGAGGCAGGAGAAUUGCUUGAACCGGGGAGGUGGAGGUUGUAGUGAGCAGAGAUCAUGCCACUGCACUGCAGCCUGGGUGAUAAGAGUGAGACUCCAUCUCAACAACAACAAAAAAAGUCUGAUCUCAGCACUGUCCUGCCUAGACUGCUUCUUUUUUUAGGACAAGUUUUUAUUGCUACCUGCUAAAAACGCACUUAUUGUCACGGUGCAGGCUAGGUUGGAGGAGUAAAACUAGAGACAAGAAGAGUUAAGAAGCCACUGCAGUAUUCAAGACAAAUGAGUCAAGCCAAAGGCUGAGAUGCUGUACAGGAAGGUCUCUAGGGGGACCCUAAAUUUAGCUGGGGGUGGUGGUGCAAGAUUCCUACGAAGUGGCACUAAAGGAGGGACUGAGUACUUACUAAAGACCUUAUGACUAAGAGGUCUCUCUCAUCCCUACACUACUUCCUUCACUCCAGUGUCUAGAAUUGGCCUCUGUAUAUAGGAGCUCUUUGGUUGAGCAUGGUUCACACCUGUAAUCCCAGCAGUUUGGGAGGCUGAGGUGGGAGGAUCACUUGAACUCAGGUGUUCAAGACCAACACAGUGAGACCCCAUCGCUAUAAAAUUUUUAAAAAUUUUAGCCAGGCAUGCUGGGACUACAUGCCUGGCUAAUUUUUGUCUUUUUUGGUAGAGACAGGGUGUCACCAUGUUGGCCAGCCUGGUCAUUAACUUUUUAAAAAAAUGUUUAUUUUCCUGAUAAAGAUUCAGCAUAAAUUUUAGGCAGAAGUCUGACGUCUAGCAGUCCCCCAGAAAGCAUUCUGUUGUCUGUUGGGGCUUCCUUGGGAGAUGGACUGUGGGCUAGGCCUGGGUGCUUUGGCAGAUACAGAGUCAGAGGCUGUGGAAAGGGGAUGGUCCAGACAGGACUAUAAUAAAUGCAGGGAUGGCCGGGCGCGGUGGUUCAUGCCUGUAAUUCCAGCACUUUGGGAGGCCAAGGCAGGUGGGUCACUUGAGGUCAGGAGUUCAAGACCAGCCUGACCAGCAUGGCAAAACCCUGUCUCUCCUAAAAAUACAAAAAUUAGCUGGGCGUGGUGGUGCAUGCUUGUAAUCCCAGCUACUUGGGAGGCUGAGGCAGGAGAAUCACUUGAACCCAGGAGGCAGAGGUUGCAGUGAGCCGAGAUUGCGUCACCGCACUCCAGCCUGGGCAACAGAGGGAGACUGCAUCUCAAAAAAAGAAAAAAAAAAAGAAAUGCAGGGAGAAGUCAAGCUUCUAGCCUCCUUGUCAAAGGAUUUAAAGUAGCAUUAGAUGGUAGAGAGAAACAAAAGAUGACCCAAGUUUCAUUUUCUCAGCUUUCUACUGGAGAGAGGACGUCAUAUAAACCAGAGUGCGAAAAAGGUCAGAAUGGAACCCUGGGGCUGGCUAGCUCAAAUUUGUAUGAGGGAUGAAGGGCAGUCCUCUCUGCUCACACUAAGGCUAAAUGGCCAGGGCCUGCGGAGAAAUCACAUCCUUUGCUGUAGGAGUAGAAGGGAUUCCAUGUGCCUAAGAAAUGUCAGAGAAAAAGGGGAUGUGAGCUCCAUGGAUCCUCUCCAGGCCACCUGGAUCCCUCCUUAUCUUUGUAGGACUCUGCUUACUGCCAGCUGGAAUUGUCAACCAAAGGGCUCUAAGUUGGGAUCUCGGUCCCUUAAGAUGAGGGGAGAUGGCUGGGCGUGGUGGCUCCUGCCUAUAAUCCCAGCACUUUGGGAGGCCGAGGUGGACAGAUCACCUGAGGUCAGGAGUUCGAGACCAGCCUGGCCAACAAUUAAAAUUACAUUUUAAUUUUUUUAAAUAUAAAAAAAUUAGCUGGGCGUGGUAGCACAUGCUUGUAAUCCCAGCUACCCUGGAGGCUGAGGCAGGAGAACUGCUUGAACCUGGGAGGUGGAGGUUGCAGUGAGCCGAGGUCGUGUCACUGCACUCCAGAGCCUGGGCGACAAGGGCAAAACUCAAAAAAAAAAAGAAAAAAGAUGAGACGAGAAAGCUAGGAAGGCCUAAGCACAAACCUCAGCAGGGGGAAUCGCUAUAGAGGAUAAGCCUCCUUGUUCUUAAAGGCUAUUUUUAUUUCAGUUGGCUGUUUGGAGCUGUGUAAAAAAAAUGGAAAACAACAAUAACAACAACAAACAAACAAAAAAACCCUCCAAAGGGCUAUUUCUAAUUCAAAUCCCCGAGGUGUCUAUCUUUCCCCUUCCUUUGGGGGAGGGAGGAGGUGAGACAAGUAAUAACUUAGAGGAACGUUUCCUUCCAUCUUUGCAGGUCUCCUGAUAGCAGGAACCUUGCUGCAUCUCCUACACUUCUCAAGAGCAGAAAUGAGCUCACUGCCCCACACCCAGGAUUCUCAUACCACACUUGAGGACUCUCUGGUUUGGACAGACUAUGAUUAAAUUUAUCACAACUGUUAGUUCUCAUGGUCUGGGAGGCCAUCUCCUCUCCUCAGACCCUGUUACUCCUAGAUCUGUCCUCUCAUUAACUCUGUCAGCACAGGCUGCUCUCUCUUCCAGGACUCCAAGAGCUCCUCAUCACCCUCAUCUGCUGUAACACGGAAAGAACCCACUUACCUGCUUCAAUACUAGGUUUUGCCCCCCAUCCCAUUUUCAAAAAGUCAGGCACAAAGUAAAACCCUAUAUUUAUUAUCCCUCCUAUUUUGAGGCUCCAGCUCUAGCCCCAGACCUUUUUUGAUAGGAGAAGGUAAUACAGUUUAUUUUCUAACUUGUUUCCCCUAGUUUUCUCCUGUCUCGUCACCCGUGUGAUCCACGUGUAUCAGAAGUGAUAGGUGGCUCAAGAUCAUUUUGGUCAGAUUUUAAAAAUAAAAUAUUUUCUCCUUUUAUGUCUAAAAAUAUUACCUUACAGCCUACCGCUCCCAGCUGGAAAAAGAAAAUUGUUUCAUUUCUGUUUUUAUCCUCCCCCUUGGACUUGCUACUCCCAAGGGCCCCAGGAAGAACUAGACUUUGGUUGUACAGAACUGUGCUGUUAAAUAGGAUUUGAUAGCCACUAGCUACAUGUGGCUAAUUAAAAUUAAAUUAAAUACUAUCUUAAAAAUUGAGUUCAUGAGGUGCACUAGCCACAUUUCAAGAGCUCAAGUCAUAUGUAGCUAGUAGUAUCUACUGUAUUAGACAGCAGAUACAGAAUACUUCCAUUGUUACAUGAAGUUCUAUUAGCUUGAAUGUGGAGGACUAGCGUCUUUAGCUUCCUUUCUUAUAACCCCAUUUUACCAGCCAGCAAAUAUUUGCAAUAACUUCACUGUUACAGGAUAAUUUUCAGAGGAGUUAGGAAUUGGGGGUAGGAAGCAGCAUAGAAUCUACAAGUCUUAUAGGAGUUUCAGGAGGCAUGGCAUAGAGGCCAGGGGUUGAUGGUCAAUGGCAAGAGCCUUAGGUUUUAAGAAAGUACUUUAGGGACUGAUGUUAUAUUACCAGGGCCACCUCCACUGUGGACUCAGUGGUUCUGCGUAAUACCUGAAAACAAAAAAUGACAUCCCUACUGCUCUGCUGGAACUGAGUAGCUGAAGUGAUUGUUAUUACUCAAAAUCUCCAGAGCUUGAUUUUGUAAACUGUUUAUCUGUCACGGUUCUUGUUCUCCCAAAUCCAAGUGACAUAAGCAGCGGUAAUGUUUAGAAAAGGUUUGUUGACUUUGCUACCCCACUCCAAGAGCAGGGAGUAGUGGGUGUCAUAUCCACUAAUCCACUGAUACUCAGGGUACUUUUUUUUUUUUUUUUUGAGAUGGAGUUUCAUUCUUGUUGCCCAGGCUGGAGUGCAAUGGUGCGAUCUCGGCUCACUGCAACCUCCUCCUCCCAGGUUCAAGUGAUUCUCCUGCCUCAGCCUCCUGAGUAGCUGGGAUGACAGGCAUGCGCCACCAUGCCUGGCUAAUUUUGUAUUUUUAGCAGAGACAGGGUUUCUCCAUGUUGGUCAGGCUGGUCUGGAACUCCCGACCUCAGGUGAUCUGCCUACCUCGGCCUCCCAAAGUGCUGGGAUUACAGGCAUGAGCCACCGUGCCUGGCCCUCAGGGUACUUUUAAUAAAGUGCUAGCUAGGCAAGCCUAUUCUUCCUCUCAAGAGUAGGUGUUCCACUUUUGAACACCUAUGCCAGGCACCGGCUAUAGUGCCUACAAGAGGAUGAUAUGUGGACAUGACCACUUUCCCUGACUACAUCAGUGGUUCUCAACUGGGGAUGAUUUUGCAAUGUCUGCUUAUGGGACAUUUGGUAAUGUCUAGAGACAUUUGUGGUUGUCACAACUAGUGGAGGGGUACUACCUGCAUGUAGUGGGUAGAGUCCAGAGAUGCUACUAAGUAUCCUAUAAUGCAUAGGACAGCUGCCCACAACAAAGAAUUAUCUCACUCAAAAUGUCAAUAGGGUCGAGGUUGAGAAAUCCUGGUCUAGGCUGGGUGUGGUGGCUCAUGACUGUAAUCCCAGCAUUUUGGGAGGCCAAGGCAGGAGGAUCACUUGAGCCCACCAGGAGUUCAAGACCAGCCUGGGCAAUGUAGGGAGAUCUCCACAAAAAAUAAAAAUAAAUUAGCUGCACUAUAGUCCUUGUUACACAGAAGGCUGACGUGGGAGCAUCACUUGAACGUAGGAAGUGAGUGAGCUGUGAUUGCACUACUGCACUCCAGUCUGGGCAACAGAGUGAGACCCUGGCUCAAACAAAACAAAAACAAAAGCAUUGAAAGAAAGAAAGAGGCCGGGCGCGGUGGCUCACGCCUGUAAUCCCAGCACUUUGGGAGGCCGAGGCGGGCAGAUCACGGGGUCAGGAGAUCGAGACCAUCCUGACUAACACGGUGAAACCCUGUCUCUACUAAAAAUACAAAAAAUUAGCCAGGCUUGGUGGCGGGCGCCUGUAGUCCCAGCUACUCGGCAGGCUGAGGCAGGAGAAUGGCAUGAAUCCAGGAGGCGGAGCUGGCAGUGAGCCGAGAUCGUGCCACCACACUCCAGCCUGGGCAACAGAGCGAGACUCUGUCAAACAGAGAGAGAGAGAGAGAAAGAAAAAGAAAUCAAUCAAUCAAUCAAUCCGGUUUAGAUGACAACAUGAAUCAGGUUUGUUGUUGUUGUUGUUGUUUCCCCCGCAGACAGAGUCUCGCUCUGUCGCCCAGGCUGGAGUGCAGUGACGGCGAUUUCGGCUCACUGCAACCUCCGCCUCCCGGGUUCAAGUGAUUCUCCUGCCCAGGCCUCCUGAAUAGCUGGGACUACAGGUGCACGUCACCAUGCCUGGCUAAUUUUUUGUGUUUUUAGUAGAGACGGGGUUUCACUGUGUUAGCCAGGAUGGUCUCGAUCUCCUGACCUCGUGAUCCACCCGCCUUGGCCUCCCAAAGUGCUGGGAUUACAGGCGUGAGCCACCGCGCCCGGCCUGUAUCAGGUCUUUAUGCCAAAAUGAAUCAUGCAGUCUAGGCUCAGUAGGAUAGUAAGGCUGUUAAAUGUCUGAUAAAUUGGGAAGGAAAAAAUAUGGAGUCAGUGAAACAGUGGGCUCCCUAAAGCUGAAGGGCAGGUGUAAUUGGAGUGUGCUUAAGUGUAUUGGAAGGCUAAGAGCUAAGGUCAUAGUGCAAUGGGAGUUGAUUUCAGAUGUGUAGCCAAUCUGAAGAUGAGAUCCAGGGUACAGCCACAGAAGUAGAGGAACAAGUUUAAACAGUCUGACUUGUGAUACAGCAGUGAACAGCUGAACCUAAUAGGGAAGACAUUCAAUAAACAGGUGAGCUGUAUGUUUUUCCUCAAUGUUUUUGUAACCCACACUUCUACUUUUCAUAUACCUGAAAAUCUCACAUUUGCCCCUCCAUUUACAAUUUCAAAAUUAAGUAUCAUGAUUGAAAUUAAUGAAAGCAGUAGUAAUUUUAGAAGGAAAAAAUUUAUUCAGAUGAUGUGAUAGCCAUGUCACUGUUAAGCCUGAACUUUUCUUUCCUGGGUGGUGUGAAAGGUGCAAGAAAACACAAGCUGCUUUUAAUAACACUCUUGCACUGCUUUCUCCCCAAAGCUAGAUAUAUCAAAACAUUAAAAAAUAAAAAAGCUUUUUAAGGUGUAAGGAGCAAAUGGAAUAGUGGAUAAAGCCUUUUCAUCUGUUUAGUCAUUUUACACCCAAGUUUCUCUGGAGUAUUUGCCUGGAAGUUUCUAAUCAAAACCAUUAGACUUUGAGUUUCACAAACUCCUCUUGAAGCUCUUCCAGUGAGGCCUGCACAUCGGUAUGAAACACAUUCUUUCCAAAAGCUACCACUGGUAGAUUUUAAGAACAAGCUCAGGAGCACAUCACUCAAAAUAAUUCCAAGUAUUUCACUUUUUCCCUUCAAAUAACACUCAUGAAUCUGGUCCUUGAAAGACUAGCCAAGAAAAUUAGACAUUUUUAGCAUUAGUUUGCUCAUACAUACAUUUGCUAUAUUUUUAUGGUUGUAUUUUUGGCAAGUUUUGUUUGAUGUAUUUCAUAAUGAACGGCGAAAUUGGUGUUUGCCCAUUGACAUUUCAGUGUCAAUGUAUUUUAAGCUUCAGUGUGUUAAAACUCUGUUGAAAAUUUUAACUUUUGAAAUGUUCAAGUAUAGAUUAUUUUUCAUUGUUCUUCCAACCUUGGGGUUGUUCUGUCCACAAGUUCAGCAGAAUCCGUUUUUCUUUGGCAACCAAGAAACUUCAAUAUGUAACAGAAAACAUGGAAUGGCAUUUAGAUCUUCAAAAAGCAGGGCAAACUGGAAUGGAAUGUACUGUUUCUCACAGUGGUCUAUGCUGACAGCAAGGCUGAAGAUUUCCAGUAGGUUAUGGGUAAUCAGUGAAAGUUCAUGCUUGGUGGUGACAGCUGCAGUACAUCUUGAAUACCAGUUUUCUUCAAUCUUUGCCAAAAACCCAAAUUUAACACAGUUUGCUGUAGUGCCAUUAAGAUAUACUCCUAUACAAUUUCCUCCAACUCGGUUCAUUUGAUACAGCUGCAAAAAUACUGUCUUUGGUGGUCAAGUAGAAGGCUCACGAAAACAGCACACCCACAGUUUUGAAAGCCUUAUUCUGAAUGUAAGCAAAGUACAGUUUUCUUCAUCAGUAGAUUCAUCUCAACCAACAGCAAUAAAAGAUGAGCCGAUUUUUUUUUUUUUUUGAGAUGGAGUCUUGCUCUAUUGCCCAGGCUGGAGUGCAGUGGCUCAGUCUCGGCUUACUGCAAGCUCCGCCUCCCAGGUUCAUGUCAUUCUCCUGCCUCAGCCUCUUGCGAGCUGAUGUUUUUUAAGAUCUGAAGUUUGAUAUAUACAGUCAUUAAUUCAGAGUUAAGACUGCAGAAGUAGAUGAAGAAAUUCUGGAAUUCCUUAAUUUAUUUGUGGCAGCACUCAGAAUGCAAGGUUUCACAAGUGUCUCCAUUUUUUUCUCCUUUGCAAUUAAAAGGGCUGUUUAAUAUUAAGCUUUCACGGCUUGGAAGAUUCCUGUGAAUAUUUCAAUACUGUCCAGUCUUAAAGCUGCAGAGAAUCGGGCUUUGCAGAACACUCCACUGUUUUUAAUGGCAUGAAUUUAACAGUGUUUGGCAUGGUGUCACUGCCCAACACUUUCAGAUAACUCAACUGAAGAAGUUGACCCUAUCUUCUGCAAAAUAACAUGAGUAUAUACUUGAGAAAAGCCUCAACAUUUUUUUUUGGCUGCCAUUUUUAGCUACCUCAAAGGAGAUAACAGAAAAACAAGGAGUACUGAUGAUGGAAGCAUCUGGUCCCUCUUGCAGAGUGAUGAAUGAUUUUAUUGGUGGCAGCUGGGUGGCAGGACAAUCCAGGCAUCCAGUUAUGCCUGAUCCCCAAUAAGUGAAAUCUUUGUUCAUUUUCUUUUUAUACACCCGUCUGCUUCCUAAAACCUGACACCAUUUAAUGGUGCCCUUGGUCAAAUCUAAAUGAUCUUACUUUCAUAAUUCUUUGAUUCUAGCUUGCAGAGUCAAGACGAACUCUAACUCAUGGGAUGGACAAACUGGAAGAUGUAAAAUAAGUAAGGCUUUCUGGGCCAAAAAGCCUCUUCUUACAGAAAAUCAAAUUUUAAAAGAACAUUGACCUCAAAACAAUAAAACUGUCCUGGUUAUGCAAUAGAAAUAGCUAUAUAAAUGGAAUCAUAUCCUUAAUGAACACCUCCUGUGGCUACCCAACUUUUCACACAUCUUACUGAUUAUAGGCCUUGCUGUGAAUGCUUUCUUGCUCUAUCUGAAGUAUUCCCACCAGAGUUGUUUCCAACUUUAUUUCCUAUAUUAUGAAAAAUGAAGUUUUUUUAACAUUGUAACAAAGUAUAUGAAAGAUAAUGUAUACUGUAUUAAAUAAACCAUUAUACAAAAAUAGUUCCUUGUACUGUUAACUAUUAUUAUGACUUUGGUCAGUAAAAUUCUAAAUCAUGCGACUAUAAUUUACAUGUUUACCAAUGGAAGGAAGUGACAAUGAACUGCCUAAAGAAUGAAAGAGACACCCAGGCAUGGUGGCUCACAUCUGUAAUCCCAGCACUUUGGGAGGCCGAGGCGGGGGGAUCAGGAGGUCAAGAGAUUGAGACCAUCCUGGCCAACAUGGUGAAACCCCGUCUACACUAAAAAUGCAAAAAUUAGCUGGGCAUGGUGGUGCGCACCUGUAUUCCCAGCUACUUGGGAGGCUGAGGCAGGAAAAUCGCUUGAACUCGGGAGGCGUAGGUUGCAGUGAGCCGAGAUCGCACCACUGCACUCUAGCCUGAUGACAGAGCGAGACUCCAGCUCAAAUAAAUAAGUAAAUAAAUAAAUAAAUAAAAAUAAAAAAAGAUUUGUGUCUUAACUGUGCACUUAACAAUAUUUACUAUAAAAUGGGGGAAGGGGAUGAUGAUAAAAGUUAGCUGAGGAAGGCUGGGCACAGUGGCUCAUGCCUGUAAUCCCAGCACUUUGGGAGGCCCAGGUGGUGGAUCUCCUGAGGUCAGGAGUUCAAGACCAGCCUGGCCAACAUGGUGAAACCCCAUCUCUACUAAAAAUGCAAAAUUAGCUGGGCAUGGUGGCAUGUGCCUGUAAUCGCAACUACUAGGGGUGCUGAGGCAGGAGGAUCGCUUGAACCCGGGAAACGGAGGUUGCAGUGAGCCGAGAUCAUGCCAUUGCACUUCUGCCUGGGCAACAGAGCAAGAUACCGUCUCAAAAAAAAAAGUUAGAAGAGAAAUGGAAGGUUCUCUCUUUUCCUCAGCUUCAGUAUACUAAAACCCAGAAGCAUAGGACAUAAGUUUUUUCCAUGGGAUACUUUAGUUAUCACCUUGGGUGAAAACAUGGUACUAGGAUUUGUCCUUCAAGUCAGGUUAAUGUAACAGAGGUAGCAGUGACUUAUGGUUAGAUUUGUGCCUUAACUGUGCACUUCCCAAUAUUUGCUAUAAAAUGGGGGCAGGGGGGUGAUAAUAAUAUCUAAUACAUGAAGCCUGUAGGACAGUGCUCUGUGUUUGUGUUUUGACUGCAACUCAAAGAAAGCAAUAUAUUUUUAGAUGAAGUAUAUACAUGUAUAUAUAUAUAACUUAAAAGUUUCAUAAAGCAGUACUUACCCUUACUAUGUUCCAUGUGUUCUAAUAUUUUCUCUUACUUCAUUUUGAGAUAAUGCUAGGCAUGACCCAUUUAUUUUAAGACACACUAAUUGGUCAAAAAACAAUUUGAAAACCACUGCUAUAGGAGAACACGAGGAAAUAUAUUUUAUAAACUGUAAAGCACUACUAAGACGUGAGCAGCGGCUGCUGCAUAUCCAGGUCAACCUUUAUGGGCCUGAAGACAACCUCUCCUUCGUUUGGGCACUGCUAGGAGUCAAAUCUACCUAGACUUUUGGUAAGGAAGAUGGUACUCAUGCUCAUUGUCAUUGAGACAAUUAUCUAAUGCUUAGAAGUCAAGACUAGAAAGCAAGGCAUUAACCAUAUCAGCACCCAAACAAGGGAAGACAAGUUACAAGAAAGCCAAAUAAAACAGCAAACAUUUGUUUAGUGCUUUAUGGUUAACAUAUAUGAUCUCUUUUAAUCCUUACAAUCCUAGGGAAAAAGUGAAGCUCAAGGAGGUUGACACCUGCCCAAGACUAGACAGUAAGUGGCAGAGCCAGGUCAUCUGAUCCUAAAUCCCGCACUCCUUCCACUAUGAUAAAAUACCAGGAAAGAAAAGUGAUCAGGAUAUGAGGCACAUUCUGAUCCAUCAAAGAUGCUUAUAUGCUUUGCCUUUCUCUAGAAGGAAAACGGACCCCACUGAAGGUAGAGAUGCAAUCCCAGACUUUCAGAGGGGGGGUGUGGCCAAUUGCUAUCAGUAGUUUAGGACUCACAUCUGGCAUUUCUGUCUACCAAUACAUCUAUUUUGACACUGCUUGUGCUGAGGUCCCAAAUGUCUAUUAUCUCCAAGUACUGUGGCUUUCUAUUCCUAUCUGUACCUGUCCCAGGGAAUUGGUCAAGGACUCACAUUAGGGAGAAAUGAAGUACUGGGUAUCUGUUACUCACGUCCCUUACACUUAGGUAGACUGCCAGUAUUAGCAGUAGUGGUCCGCUUCCAGUGACCGUCAUAUUAUCUGUUCAGCUUCCUCUGGGGAAGCCAAUCUGCCCCAAUCUUCAUGGUUUUGUGUCUCCUUUUUUACCCAUAUGACCAUCUCUCUCCACCGUGUCUCCCUCAUCAAAUAAAGAGAAGUUUAGCAACUAAGUACCUGAGGAGGUGGGAAAGGAAUGCUACUCAUUCCUCAGCUCUCCUAGUUACCUUUCCACUCCCUUCAUCCCCCCACAUUCCCUCAUUUCUCUCACCUGGUACUCCUGCACCACCUCCUCCAAAGGCAGCACGCUGUGCUGUUUGUGGCUCCUGGAUUCUCGGCACACCACACAGAUGGCCUCUUUGUCCACCUCACAGAAGAGUUUCAGGGCUUCCUGGUGUUUAAAGCACAUGCCCUGAUCAUUACUCCGGUUUCCCCGAUAAGGAGUGGGGCACAUCUGGCGAAUUAUCUGGACCAUGUUGGCCAGCUGCAAGUUGGGACGAAAGCUGCGACGUGUAAAGCUCUUUCGGCACUGGGGGCAGGUGAACUGCCCUGGAAGGGGCAAGGAAGGAGGCGGGUGGAUGUCAGGAUACAGCUCUUCAUCUUCGUCCUCAUCGUAUGCUUCCAGUAUUUCUUCUUCUCGGUAGACAUCAAUUCUCAGGUCAGGUCUCAAGCCUCCUAGGUAAUAGUCCUGAUCUUCCUCUUCUUCUUCUUCCUCCUCGUCCCACAUAUAGUCUACGUUGUCCCAAUUAGUUAUACCACUGUCACCGAGCCAGAGUUCAUCGUCAUCUUGGUCUUGGAACAACUCUUCGUCAGCAUUCCCCCGAUACAACACCUCUCGAAUGGAGCCGUCCCAUCCAUCCAUGGCCCCCACCGCUUCCUCGUCCUCCUCCUCCUCCCAUUCAUCUUCCUCCUCGUUCUGGUCCUCCUCGUCCUCCUUACUCCACAGCUGGGUCACACACCCUCGGCAGAAGUUGUGCCCACAGCUGAUGGACACGGGGUCCUUGAAGUAAUCCAAGCAGAUGGCACACACCGCUUCCUCCUGAAGGGUCUGCAUGGGGCUGGGAGUAGUGGCAUAACCAGCCAUCUUAAUGCCCGCCGGCAGGUGUAGAUACGUCAGCUUGGAGCUGAGGAGCGGGGACGCGCCUGCAGGCCUGCCUCCAAACUACUCUGGUGACCCGAGGCUGUCCUCAACCUUGCUCUUCUUCCUCGGGGCCGCAGGGGAGCUUUGACCCCCUCUCUCAGGGUGCGAACGCCCAGAUCCAGACUCACAGCCUCUCUCUGGGAUCGGUGGGGACAGAGCAGGCUGCAGCCCCCAGCUGCUCGGUCCUGUCACGUCUCUCGCUACCCUCAGGGUGUGCCCUACACUGCGGCGUCCGCCUCAGAUGCAGCCGCUGGCUACCCUGCCCGAGGCGACGCAAAAUGACGUCUCGCUCCUGCACACGCUCUGGAGAGACGCUCUAGGCCGGCGGAGGACCACGUCUCUAUGGUGUGCCGGGGGCCGCGCGGGCCGGGAGUUGGGUGGGCUGGGGGACAGGCGCGCCCGCGCCGCCCGCUCCAGCUGGGCUAGUGCUGCACAUUCCGGCCAGCCCCUCCUCAAGACCCCAUUCCCAAGCCCCUUCUCAGCUCCCUCGGGCCGGCAGAGCGGCUCUGAUCAGUAAAAUGCUGUUGAAGGCCCACGGGCAUGACUGCACCCCUCACUAAUUGGUCAUUGGUUUGGGGAGGACACCACUGUCCCAGUGGAACCUUGAGCACACCUUGGAGCCCUCCUCUUCCUCUCCGGACCUGUGCCAAACUGUGAGUGGCACAGAGCAAGGACUGUAUGUGUUCUCUUCUUUGUUGCAUACUCAGUUCCUUGACCACAGUGCCAAGCACACAGCGAGCACUCCCUGUGUAUCUGCUGAGUAAAUAAACGAAUGAACAAACCCAACACAUUUCAGCCAAGUCCUGCUGAUGUUUCUCCUCCGAUCUAGCUCCUCCUUUCCAGCCUUACUUCUGCCACUCCAGAUUUCACCCCCAUCAGCUUCAGACUGGAUAAAAGGAAACCAUUUCUCUAAAGGAUCACUUGCUCUCUCAUUUCAGGCCAUCCUGCAGCCACCAGAACCUUCCACAUGAAAUGAAAGGCUCACCACUUCAUAGGCUUUAAGGAAAUUCUUGGCCAGGUGUGGUGCCUCACUCAUGUAAUCCCAGUGCUUUAAGAGGCCAAGAUGGGAGGAUUGUUUGAGCCAGCUGUUUGAGACCAGCCUGGGCAACGUCAUGAGACCCCAUCUCCACAAAAAAAAAAAAAAAGAAAAUUGGCUGGGUGCGGUGGCUCAUGUCUGUAAUCCCAGCAAUUUUGGAGGCUGAGGCGGGUGGAUCACUUGAGGUCAGGAGUUUGAGACCAGCCUGGCCAACAUGGUGAAACCCCGUCACUACUAAAAAUACAAAAAUUAGCCAGGCGUGGCGGCAGGUGCCUGUAAUCCCAGCUACUUGCGAGGCUGAGGAAGAAUUGCGUGAACCUAGGAGGUGGAGGUUGCAGUGAGCCAAGAUCAUGCUGCUGCACUCCAGCCUGGGCAACAGAGUGAGACUCCAUCUCAAAAAUAAUAAAAAUAAAUUAAAAAAAUUAAAAAUUACCUGCGUGUGAUGGUGUGCGCCUGUAGUUCCAGCUACUUGGGAGGCUGAAUUGGGAGGAUCAUUUGAGCCCAGGAGGUCAAGGCUGCAGUAAGCAGUGAUGGUGCCACUGCCCUCAGCCUGGGCAACAGAACAACAUGCAAUCUUAAAAAAAAAAAAUCCUGGCCAGGCACAGUGGCUUAUGACUGUAAUCCCAGCACUUUAGGAGACGGAGGCGGGCAGAUCACGAGGUCAGGAGAUUGAGACCAUCCUGGCUAACACGGUGAAACCCCGUCUCUACUAAAAAUACAAAAAAUUAGCUGGGUGUGGUGGCAGGCGCCUGUAGUCCCAGCUACUUGGGAGGCUGAGGCAGGAGAAUGGCGUGAACCCGGGAGGUAGAGCUGGCAGCGAGCCGAGAUGGCGCCACUGCACUCCAGCCUGGGCGACAGAGAGACUCCAUCUCAAAAAAAAAAAAAAAAAAAAAAAAAGCCAAGGGGAAGGCCCAACCCUAGCCUUGUCUUCUUUCUCCUCUUUGUGGAGAAGCUCACAGAUGUGGGUGUAGCAGAAGUGUGACUGCGGCCCACGCUGCCUCCCUGCGUCUUCUCACCUUCUCCUUGCCCUGCGCUGUCACACCAGCGAACGAACCACACAGCCUCCCCUCAAGGCAAAAAGCCGGGGUCAGGGGUCAACCUGCCAGCUGCCCACGCCGAGGGUUUGACAGCCUCAGCUAGGGCUCUCUAGGCUCCUCCUCUCCACAGUCUUUAACGGGGAGGAGGCCCGGGGCAAUGCUGCUGGCAGAGGAGGAGUGGGCUCUAGGUUAGGGAGAAGUGUGGCUGUGCACUGAAUUGCUCUUGGCAGUAGCUCACUGAGACUAACUCGGGGGAAGGCACUGUUGGUCCUGGCCUGGGAAAACACGGAAGAGGGCUAGAGGGAGUGAGCUGCAGUGCAUUGCGGGCAGGGUCCUGCAGGCUCCCAGGGUCUCGGCCCCAAGAGACAGAACCCCUGCCCUGCCUGGCCGUAAAUUAGAUGAGGCUGAGAGGAGCAGGGGCUGGAGCUGGUUUUCUCGGAGCCUCUGCAGCGCUAGGCCUUAAGCACACAGCCCCUUCACUCUUCCCGGCCCAUGCACCAGGGAGAGGACACGAGGUGGAGUGGCCUGGCCCCUCUGUCCAUCCAAUCUCUGGCUGCAGUAGGAGAGAGGGCCCCUGCAUGCAUCAUCAUCAAUUCCAAAGGGCUCCUAGGUUUGUGGGAAUUUCAGGCCAGGCAGGUGGUGGGAGAAGGAGACUGAGCUCAGGUUCUUCCCCUAAUCAGAGUGAAGAUCAAAACACCCUGCUCCUGAGUUCCCUGCAUCGGUACCUUCCCUGAGGACAGGAGACGGGGGACCAGGAUGGGAGAAGGUCAGGAGAGAGCUGGGGUUGACUCCCAAGGCCCAGGUUACAGCCCCCUGCUCUCAGCCCCAUCUCACGGUAGGCCCCUCCCCGGUGUGGGCCAGUCCAGCCUGCCCAAGUGAAAUGACCAACGUGCCAGAAAGUUUAAUUUCAAGGUUUAAACAAUAAUAAGUAAUACAUACUGAAAACAAAACAUACAUAUGCCUCAGACCCAGUGACUCCACCCUAAACCCUAUGCCCAGAGGCAAGAAAUGCAUGCUUAUGUUCACCAAAAGAUGGAUACAGGUGAUCAAGGUGCUGUUCCUAAUACUUCCAAACUGGAAACAGCCCUCCUAUCAACCAGAGAACACAUAAGCACAUUUGGCCUAUUUACAUGAUGGAAUAUUUACAUCAAAGUGAGAAUGAACUUACUACAUGCUAUGUCAUGGAUGCAUCUCAUAGACGUUAAGUGAAUUAAGCCUGGCAUAAGAGCAUCAGACUGUACGAUUCCAUUCUCUGAUGCUCACAACAGACAAAACUACUCCAGGGCCAGAGAAGGCAAGACCGUGGUUACGUGGGGGUGGAGAAUGAGUACAGUGGACUCAGGAUUUCUGGGGAUGCUCCAUCCAUCUCCUGUUCUGACUGUACGCUUUGAAAAUUCAUUUCAGCUGCAAAUGUAUGAUUUGUGUCUUUCUGUGGAGAUAUCACAUUUCAAGCAGAGCAGAUAAAGAACUACCAAUAUUCCCAGAGUCUGUAAUAGUCAAACCUGCCACAAACCUACAACCAGGCCUGAUGCAGACCCACUGGUCACGUUCACUGUGUCCAGCUGGGACUUCUGGAAUCUAAGAGACAGUGCCCAGCUGAAUUACAUAAGCCCCCCAAAAGAACAAAACCACCUUUGCCAAAUUAUGAACAAUGAGUGAAACCUACCACGACUGGUGAAGGGGUGGCCUGUCCCUCCACACUUGUGGGCGUUUCUCGUCGGGUGGAACGAGAGACUUGAGAAAAGAAAGACACAGAGACAAAGCGUAGAGAAAGAAAAGUGGGCCCAGGGAACCGGCACUCAGCAUACGGAGGACCUGCGCCAGCACCAGUCUCUGAGUUCCCUCAGUAUUUAUUGAUCAUUAUUGGGUGUUUCUCAGAGAGGGGGAUGUGGCAGGACAAUAGGGUAAUAGUGGGGAGAGGGUCAGCAGGAAAACGUGAACAAAGGUCUCUGCAUCAUAAACAAGGUAAAGAAAAAAGUGCUGUGCUUUUGAUGUUCAUAUACACAAACAUCUCAAUGCCUUAAAGAGCAGUAUUGCUGCCAGCAUGUCCCACCUCCAGCCCUAAGGCGGUUUUCUCCUAUCUCAGUAGAUGGAAUAUACAAUCGGGUUUUACACCGAGACAUUCCAUUGCCCAGGUACGAGCAGGAGACAGAUGCCUUCCUCUUAUCUCAACUGCAAAGAGGCCUUCCUCUUUUACUAAUCCUCCUCGACACAGACUCUUUACGGGUGUCGGGCUAGGGGACAGUCAGGUCUUUCCCUUCCCACGAGGCCAUAUUGCAGACUAUCACAUGGGGAGAAACCUUGGACAAUACCUGGCUUUCCUCAGCAGAGGUCCCUGUGGCCUUCAGCAGUGUAUUGUGUCCCUGGGUACUUGAGAUUAGGGAGUGGUGAUGACUCUUAAGGAGCAUGCUGCCUUCAAGCAUCUGUUUAACAAAGCACAUCCUGCACCGCCCUUAAUCCAUUUAACCCUGAGUGGACACAGCACAUGUUUCAGAGAGCACGGGGUUGGGGCUAGGGUUACAGAUUAACAGCAUCUCAAGGCAGAAGAAUUUUUCUUAGUACAGAACAAAAUGGAGUCUCUUAUGUCUACUUCUUUCUACAUAGACACAGUAACAGUCUGAUCUCUUUCUUUUCUCCACAGACUGGCCCACCUGGCUUCUAACCUUAUAGGCUGUUUUGGUAUUUUUCUCUUGGUUAUUCUAGCACUGAGGCCAAAAUAACUAUGAGAGGGAUUUAGUUUAUAGUUAAACUUGGAGGCAAGGGAAACGAACCCCCUCCACCCCAUCCAGAGAUUCGGGCUGCAUUCACAUGACAAGGUUAGUAUUAUGGCAGGGGCUUGGACCUUGCUAAAGAAUAGGAAUAAUUAAGCACUGAUUGCUGUCGCUUAGCAGGUUUUCUGUAAGUUACCGACUGCCCCAG